AUGAAUGACCAGAGAUAUCCUUUUAUGGGGAACAUGAACAUGCAGCACCCGGGAUCCCGAAUGCCUCCUCAUCUGCAGCACCACCCGCGGCCGAGAGGACCUCCUCCCUUCGAGCCGGGACGGCCGCUGGUCCAGCAGCCCCUGCAGCCGCUGAUGCCCCCGCACAUGGUCCACCGCGCGCCGCCUCUGCGCGCCCAAAUGGAGCCGCCGCCUCGAAUGAUGAGCUCGCCCCCACCCGGCUUUCCCCAGCACCCACACCCACCGCCGCCUCCCCAGUCCAAAAACAUCCACAUUAAUCCUCACUUUAGGGGCCCGUCCACGUCUGUGCAAGUGCCCUUGAUGCCUCCUGCUCAGAGCCAGCCUAGACCUGCUGUGGGUCCUCCGAGGUUCCCAGGACAAGGAGAAUUCCAGCAGCACAUGUCUGGUGGUUUUGGUCAG
Molecule: long non-coding RNA, 438 nt
Filed under: Neogobius melanostomus (round goby)
Lineage: Eukaryota; Metazoa; Chordata; Actinopteri; Gobiiformes; Gobiidae
Description: lncRNA (ENSNMLG00000025429.1)
Source: RNAcentral